Molecule: long non-coding RNA, 601 nt
Filed under: Citrus maxima (pomelo)
Lineage: Eukaryota; Viridiplantae; Streptophyta; Magnoliopsida; Sapindales; Rutaceae
Description: long non-coding RNA (CMAX_LNC001607)
Source: RNAcentral
UUUUAAUCCAAAUUUUGGUCAAUAACAAAAUAUGUGAAAGUUAAAUUGACGCAAUAGAAUUUGAGCUCAAAAGCAACAAGGCAAUGAAAGCGGGCGGCCAAAAUCGUGACCUCAGGAGGUUCUCUUUUGAUUUUUUAUCAUUUCUAAAGUACAUUUCAAAUUAGUUUAACAAAUUGAAAAACAAGGCAAAUCAGCAAAUCCCCAGUUCACCACAAAAUCCUUCCAAACCAGCCACUGCCAGACCAACCGACGAGGACGCUGCUGCAGCCAUGCCCAUAACUCACGCCACAGUUUUAUCAAGAAGUAGAAGCAGUAUUUAGUUGCAGCUUCAAGAUUAAAGGAAAAUGAAAGAGACCCUCUGUUACUCUUGGACAGCAUAUGUUGAGGCUCCAAUGCUCCAUGCUCCAUUACAUUCAAUAAUGGCAUUGACAUUUGCCCUACUUUAUGGGUAGCACCACUUUACCCCCACUUAGUAUAUCAUCAAAUCCCAGUUAUCACUUUUUAUUUGAAAUCAAUUUCAUAUUCACAGUUUAAACAGUAAAAUUACGAAGUUAUUGUCCUCCAUUGCUAGCAAAUUGGAUUCUUUAAAUCACAACAUUCA